AGGAUGAACGCUGGCGGCGUGCCUAAGACAUGCAAGUCGAGUGGGUUUAGACCCACGGCGAACGGGUGAGUAAUACCUAGGAACGUAUCUUUAGUUGAGGAUAUCCUCCCGAAAGGGAGAGCAAUACUCAAAUGUGAUCGCAAGAUUAAAAGUCGCAAGACGCUAAAGAAGCGGCCUGGGCACCAUCAGCUAGUUGGUAAGGUAAAAGCUUACCAAGGCUAUGACGGUUAGGGGUCCCGAGAGGGAUAACCCCCACACUGGAACUGCGACACGGUCCAGACUCCUACGGGAGGCAGCAGUUUGGAAUUUUGGACAAUGGGCGAAAGCCUGAUCCAGCGACGCCGCGUGGACGAUGAAGGCCUUCGGGUUGUAAAGUCCUUUUGCUCGGGAACUAAUUUUGAGCGUACCGAGAGAAUAAGAGGUUGCUAACUCUGCGCCAGCAGCCGC
Molecule: ribosomal RNA, 447 nt
Filed under: uncultured bacterium
Lineage: Bacteria
Description: SSU rRNA
Rfam family: Bacterial small subunit ribosomal RNA
Source: RNAcentral